GAUGAACGCUAGCGGCAGGCCUAAUACAUGCAAGUCGAACGGGAUCAGGGAGCUUGCUCCCUGUGAGAGUGGCGCACGGGUGCGUAACACGUAUGCAACCUACCUUCAACUGGGGGAUAGCCUUCCGAAAGGGAGAUUAAUACCGCAUAAUAUAAUUGAACGGCAUCGUUUAAUUAUCAAACGUCAGGGUUGAAGAUGGGCAUGCGUCCGAUUAGUUUGUUGGUGAGGUAACGGCUCACCAAGACUACGAUCGGUAGGGAUCUGAGAGGAUGACCCCCCACACUGGUACUGAGACACGGACCAGACUCCUACGGGAGGCAGCAGUAAGGAAUAUUGGUCAAUGGACGCAAGUCUGAACCAGCCAUGCCGCGUGCAGGAGACGGUCCUCUGGAUUGUAAACUGCUUUGUAGGGAANAACCCUCGGAUGCGUUCGAGGCUGACGGUACCUAAGAUAAGGAUCGGCUAACUCCGUGCCAGCAGCCGC
RNAcentral lists this ribosomal RNA (484 nucleotides) under uncultured bacterium. Its description in RNAcentral is "bacterial SSU rRNA". It matches the Rfam family "Bacterial small subunit ribosomal RNA", at positions 28 to 518 of the family's 1533-position model. The record is from RNAcentral.